Molecule: non-coding RNA, 24 nt
Filed under: Arabidopsis thaliana (thale cress)
Lineage: Eukaryota; Viridiplantae; Streptophyta; Magnoliopsida; Brassicales; Brassicaceae
Source: RNAcentral
AGACUGCGAUGGCCAGUCUGCUAG